Molecule: long non-coding RNA, 1446 nt
Organism: Crotalus tigris (Tiger rattlesnake)
Lineage: Eukaryota; Metazoa; Chordata; Lepidosauria; Squamata; Viperidae
Exons: 2
Source: RefSeq, a predicted model, not a curated record
AGGAAGCUUUGGAGCUUCACAAGGUUAAUACUAUAUGGACCAAAACUGUGACUGCAUCGGGAUGUUCUGCUUCGGGUACCAUGGAGCCCCUCCUCCCAGAAGGGGUAACAAGGAAAAUAGGUUGUGAAGAGGAUGUGUGGUAUCCCAGACAAUCUUGCGGACCCACACAAGCAACGCUUCUGUUCCACAUCCUCAAUGGGAGGGAGGGAACUGCCAAUAAUCUUUUCUGCUGUCCUCACCACUCUCGGCAUCGCCUUCCUGUCCGAAGCAGGGAUGCUUCCAAACCAGGCUGUGAUGCUGUAUGACAGGAUGCUCCAGAUCGUCCCUCUGCAGAAAGUGGUGAGGACAGGGGAAGGAAGACUCAAGCACCAUCUGUAUUCUUCUUGCUGUCAGUGUAUAUAACAUGAAAGCUCCCUUUUUUUUUCAAGCUCUUUACCCAUUAAACCCCAAAGACCAAUGCUGCUAUAUCUCAAAUCUCCUUUGCAGAAGCAAAUGGUCACAAUGGAGACCUCUACAAAAUCUGUGCCAGUUUGAAUUUUGUUGUUGUUGUUGUUGUUUUGUUUGCAGGUGUUGUUUCUAAUUUCGUUUUAAAAAGUCAGUGUGUGAAAUUUGCUGUUGACUCCUUUUGGUUGAUCUGAGCUUUUGGUUCUAUCUUUAGGCUCCACGAAGCUGAGAAGUCUCCCGCGUUGACAAAUCAGGACACCGAUCCCAACAACGUGGCCUAUGCAGAUCUCAACUUCGACAAGGAGGCCCAGAAGAGACCCUGCCCACGGGUGGACAGCCCCCUCCAGUCGGAGUACGCCACCCUCCAGGCGGUGCAGCCCUCCAUCCAGGACGAAAACGUCACCUAUGCAGACUUGGAUAUGGUGCAGCUGAACAAAGCCCCCAAGCGGCCGGCCCUGAAGGCGGAGGAAGCGAGUUCGGAGUACGCCAGCGUCCAGGUGCAGAACAAGUGAUGUCCGGGAGAGGCGGCGGCCGCUUGGGGUUCGAAGGACCUCUGACCAGUUGGCUGAGGGUUCUUCCGCUAGGGCUUGGACUCGCGAUCUUCAUGCUCCUCAGAGGUCCCUUGGAAACUGUUUGGUGCUACUCACAGCUGGAUCCUGUGUCUGAACUUCUUCCUUCCCCGCUCGGCGGGUGGACGGAAGACGUCAAGAUGGGUGAAGGAUCUAACACGGCUUCUCUCACCGAGCACCACCGCCCUCUUCUCAACAUCCGUCAACACGCCAACAAGGACGAGCAGGCCACGAGAGGCGCGCGGGUGCAGGCCGGUGCCACGUCUGGCUCUUCCUGGUGAAGCUCUUCUCGUUGGCCUUUGGAGAGCACCAAGCUUCUGAGAUGCCACCUUGAGAUUCCUCCUUCGCGCAGCCCGCCUGUAUCGGUGGCCCCAGCUCGCCCCCUAAAACUUGAAAUAAACUUGUGGAUUGGGCCCUGUCCACUUCAAAGGUC